This 442-nucleotide ribosomal RNA is filed under the name uncultured bacterium. Its description in RNAcentral is "partial 16S ribosomal RNA". It matches the Rfam family "Bacterial small subunit ribosomal RNA", at positions 338 to 795 of the family's 1533-position model. The record is from RNAcentral.
CCUACGGGAGUCAGCAGUGGGGAAUAUUGGGCAAUGGGCGCAAGCCUGACCCAGCAAUGCCGCGUGAAGGAAGAAGGCUUUCGGGUUGUAAACUUCUUUGACAGGGGAAGAGCAGAAGACGGUACCCUGAAAACAAGCCACGGCUAACUACGUGCCAGCAGCCGCGGUAAUACGUAGGUGGCAAGCGGUGUCCGGAUUUACUGGGUGUAAAGGGCGUGUAGCCGGGAAGGCAAGUCAGAUGUGAAAUCCGGAGGCUCAACCUCCGAAUGGUAUUUGAAACUGUUUUUGUUGAGUACUGGAGAGGCAGACGGAAUUCCUUGUGUAGCGGGGAAAGGCGUAGAUAGAAGGAGGAACCCCAGUGGCGAAGGCGGUCUGCGGGACAACAACUGACGGUGGGGCGCAAAAGCGUGGGGAGCAAACAGGAUUAGAUACCCGGGUAGUC